Molecule: ribosomal RNA, 495 nt
Filed under: uncultured bacterium
Lineage: Bacteria
Description: partial 16S ribosomal RNA
Rfam family: Bacterial small subunit ribosomal RNA
Source: RNAcentral
GACGAACGCUGGCGGCGUGCCUAAUACAUGCAAGUCGAACGCUAGAGGAGGAGCUUGCUUCUCUUGAUGAGUUGCGAACGGGUGAGUAACGCGUAGGUAACCUGCCCUGUAGCGGGGGGUAACUAUUGGAAACGAUAGCUAAUACCGCAUAAGAGUAGAUGUUGCAUUACAUUUACUUAAAAGUUGCAAUUUCCUCACUACCAGAUGGACCUGCGUUGUAUUAGCUAGUUGGUGGGGUAACGGCUCACCAAGGCGACGAUACAUAGCCGACCUGAGAGGGGGGUCCGCCAAACUGGGAAUGGGACAAGGCCCAGAAUUCUACGGGAGGGCGCAGGAGGGAAACUUCGGCAAAGGACGGAAGUCUGGACGAGCCAAGCCGGGGGAGGGAAGAAGGUUGUCGGAUUGGUAAGCCCUUUUUGUAGGGAAGAAAGAGUGUCAGAGUAGAAAGUUCACACUGUGACGGUACCUAACCAGAAAGGGACGGCUAACUACGUG